UACGUAGGGGGCUAGCGUUGUCCGGAAUCAUUGGGCGUAAAGCGCGUGUAGGCGGUUCGGUAAGUCCGCUGUGAAAGUCGGGGGCUCAACCCUCGGAUGCCGGUGGAUACUGUCGGACUAGAGUACGGAAGAGGCGAGUGGAAUUCCUGGUGUAGCGGUGAAAUGCGUAGAUAUCAGGAGGAACACCGGUGGCGAAGGCGGCAUCCUGGGCCGGUAUUGACGCUGAGGAGCGAAAGCCAGGGGAGCAAACGGG
Molecule: ribosomal RNA, 253 nt
Filed under: uncultured bacterium
Lineage: Bacteria
Description: partial 16S ribosomal RNA
Rfam family: Bacterial small subunit ribosomal RNA
Source: RNAcentral